AGCUCCAAUAGCGUAUAUUUAAGUUGUUGCAGUUAAAAAGCUCGUAGUUGGAUUUCGGGCGGGGCCUGCCGGUCCGCCUUUGGUGUGCACUGGCAGGGUCCGCCUUGCUGUCGGGGACGGGUUCCUGGGCUUUACUGUCUGGGACUCGGAGUCGACGUGGUUACUUUGAGUAAAUUAGAGUGUUCAAAGCAGGCUUACGCUCUGAAUACAUUAGCAUGGAAUAACGCGAUAGGACUCUGGCCUAUCUUGUUGGUCUGUGGGACCGGAGUAAUGAUUAAGAGGGACAGUCGGGGGCAUUCGUAUUUCAUUGUCAGAGGUGAAAUUCUUGGAUUUAUGAAAGACGAACUACUGCGAAAGCAUUUGCCAAGGAUGUUUUCAUUA
RNAcentral lists this ribosomal RNA (381 nucleotides) under Choricystis sp. RNAcentral's name for it is "SSU rRNA". It matches the Rfam family "Eukaryotic small subunit ribosomal RNA", at positions 587 to 975 of the family's 1831-position model. The record is from RNAcentral. Lineage: Eukaryota; Viridiplantae; Chlorophyta; Trebouxiophyceae. RNAcentral also lists the same sequence under 1 other name.